CGCGUCGUUGGUGGGUGGUGAAGAUGCGGUCGGUGUUCCCGAUCCCGACGAUGCGGCCCUCGGGGUCGAACAGCACGCGUUGGAUCGUGCCGCCGCAG
RNAcentral lists this transfer RNA (98 nucleotides) under Microbacterium saperdae. RNAcentral describes it as "tRNA-Gly". Lineage: Bacteria; Bacillati; Actinomycetota; Actinomycetes; Micrococcales; Microbacteriaceae. The record is from RNAcentral.